RNAcentral lists this ribosomal RNA (460 nucleotides) under uncultured bacterium. RNAcentral's name for it is "partial 16S ribosomal RNA". It matches the Rfam family "Bacterial small subunit ribosomal RNA", at positions 338 to 795 of the family's 1533-position model. The record is from RNAcentral.
CCUACGGGAGGCAGCAGUGAGGAAUAUUGGUCAAUGGACGAGAGUCUGAACCAGCCAAGUAGCGUGAAGGAUGACUGCCCUAUGGGUUGUAAACUUCUUUUAUAUGGGAAUAAAACGUUCCACGUGUGGGAUUUUGUAUGUACCAUAUGAAUAAGGAUCGGCUAACUCCGUGCCAGCAGCCGCGGUAAUACGGAGGAUCCGAGCGUUAUCCGGAUUUAUUGGGUUUAAAGGGAGCGUAGGUGGAUUGUUAAGUCAGUUGUGAAAGUUUGCGGCUCAACCGUAAAAUUGCAGUUGAAACUGGCAGUCUUGAGUACAGUAGAGGUGGGCGGAAUGCGUGGUGUAGCGGUGAAAUGCUGAGAUAUCACGAAGAACUCCGAUUGCGAAGGCAGUUCACUGGACUGCAACUGACACUGAGGCUCGAAAGUGUGGGUAUCAAACAGGAUUAGAUACCCUUGUAGUC